CGCGUAGGCGGUUAUUUAAGUUAGAUGUGAAAUCCCUGGGCUUAACCUAGGAACUGCAUCUGAUACUGGAUGGCUGGAGUGUGGUAGAGGGUAGUGGAAUUUCCGGUGUAGCGGUGAAAUGCGUAGAUAUCGGAAGGAACACCAGUGGCGAAGGCGGCUACCUGGACCAACACUGACGCUGAGGCGCGAGAGCGUGGUAGCAAACA
RNAcentral lists this ribosomal RNA (206 nucleotides) under uncultured bacterium. RNAcentral describes it as "partial 16S ribosomal RNA". It matches the Rfam family "Bacterial small subunit ribosomal RNA", at positions 568 to 774 of the family's 1533-position model. The record is from RNAcentral.